GGGAUUAUACGUCAGGGGACACAGGUUAACUGGUCAGUGUAGUGGGAUUAUACGUCAGGCGACACAGGUUAAGUGGUCAGUCUGUGGGUUUAUAGAUGAGGGGAUACAGGUUAACUGGUCAGUGUAGUGGGAUUAUACGUCAGGCGACACAGGUUAACUGGUCAGUGUAGUGGGAUUAUACGUCAGGGCACACAGGUUAACUGGUCAGUGUAGUGGGAUUAUACGUCAGGCGACACAGGUUAACUGGUCAGUGUCGUGGGAUUAUAGAUGAGGGGAUACAGAUAAACUGGUCAGUGUAGUGGGAUUAUACAUCAGGGGACACAGGUUAACUGGUCAGUCUGUGGGCUUAUAGAUGAGGGGACACAGGUUAACUGGUCAGUGUAGUGGGAUUAUACGUCAGGGGACACAGGUUAACUGGUCAGUGUAGUGGGAUUAUAUGUCAGGCGACACAGGUUAACUGGUCAGUGUAGUGGGAUUAUACGUCAGGGGACACAACUGGUCAGUGUAGUGGGAUUAUACGUCAGGCGACACAGGUUAACUGGUCAGUCUGUGGGUUUAUAGAUGAGGGGAUACAGGUUAACUGGUCAGUGUAGUGGGAUUAUACGUCAGGGGACACAGGUUAACUGGUCAGUGAAGUGGGAUUAUAAAUCAGGGGACACAGGUUAUCUGGUCAGUGUAGUGGGAUUAUAGAUGAGGGGAUACAGAUAAACUGGUCAGUGUAGUGGGAUUAUACAUCAGGGGACACAGGUUAACUGGUCAGUCUGUGGGUUUAUAGAUGAGGGGACACAGGUUAACUGGUCAGUGUAGUGGGAUUAUACAUCAGGGGACACAGGUUAACUGGUCAGUGUAGUGGGAUUAUACGUCAGGGGACACAGGUUGACUGGUCGGUCUGUGGGUUUAUAGAUGAGGGGACACAGGUUAACUGGUCAGUGUAGUGGGAUUAUACGUCAGGGGACACAGGUUAACUGGUCAGUCUGUGGGAUUAUACGUCAGGGGACACAGGUUAACUGGUAAAUCUGUGGGAUUAUAGAUGAGGGGAUACAGAUAAACUGGUCAGUGUAGUGGGAUUAUACGUCAGGGGACACAGGUUAACAUGUCAGUGUAGUGGGAUUAUACGUCAGGGGACACAGGUUAACUGUUCAGUGUAGUGGGAUUAUAGAUGAGGGGAU
Oncorhynchus tshawytscha (Chinook salmon) is the source of this 1169-nucleotide long non-coding RNA. The record is from Ensembl. NCBI's taxonomy places the organism in Eukaryota, Metazoa, Chordata, Actinopteri, Salmoniformes, Salmonidae.